UCCCUGGUGGUCCACUGGUUAGGACUCAGCACUUACAGUGCUGUGGCCCAGGUUCAAUCCCUGGUCAGGGAA
Balaenoptera musculus (blue whale) is the source of this 72-nucleotide non-coding RNA. NCBI's taxonomy places the organism in Eukaryota, Metazoa, Chordata, Mammalia, Artiodactyla, Balaenopteridae. The record is from the annotation of a RefSeq genome assembly.